Myodes glareolus (Bank vole) is the source of this 737-nucleotide non-coding RNA. The record is from RefSeq and is a predicted model, not a curated record. NCBI's taxonomy places the organism in Eukaryota, Metazoa, Chordata, Mammalia, Rodentia, Cricetidae.
GAAACUACCUGUGGGGGAGGGGGAGGGCGUGAACGAGCCGGCGCACGUGAUAGCGUCCGAGCCAAUGAGUGAGCCCUCGUCCGGCCCGUGGGAAGCCAUCUUGAGAGUGGGCCAGCCCCCCAUGCUGGGCUGCUUCUAAAGUCACAGAUAUAAGCCCUGCAUCUGGAGUCCAGAAGUCUGAGACUCAGCUCUACACAGGAAAUCUCUUUCCUGCCUCUCCCAGACUCUGGAGUUCCAGUGAUGGAGUUGCCUCGUCCCUGUAUGUGCCUGUUCUUGUGAGGGCCAGCCGUGAUAAUCUAAGUCUUGGGCAGAAAGGAAGUUCUUUACUUCCUCCAACCAUUAUCACCUGGGACUCUGGCCAUUGAUGAAUUUUAGUGAAGGCUGGAGGCUGGGUCUCAGUUGUUUACCCUGAGAUGAUGCGGGGCUGCAGGAGAAACUACAGGCUGAGAUCACCGGACCCUCACCCAAGAACAGACCAUUCAGAGGAAAUUUCUGGCAUUCCAAGUACUGUAGAUAGAAACACCUGCCAGUGCACAGUCACCAGGAAACCCUAGACCAAUAUCAGCCAAUCAGGGGUCUUAAAACCUCAGAAACCCCUCGCCCCCGACCUGUACUACUAUAAAACCCUAUUCUAAUUGAGCUCAGGGCUCUCCAGUUAUUCCAAUACGUUAGACGUGCGGAGAGACCGAGUUUACAAACUUGACUAAAAUAAAGGCUCUUUGUUUUUACAUAUGUGA